This 406-nucleotide ribosomal RNA is filed under the name uncultured bacterium. RNAcentral describes it as "partial 16S ribosomal RNA". It matches the Rfam family "Bacterial small subunit ribosomal RNA", at positions 30 to 526 of the family's 1533-position model. The record is from RNAcentral.
AUUGAACGCUGGCGGCAGGCCUAACACAUGCAAGUCGAACGAGUGGCGGACGGGUGAGUAAUAUAUGGGAACCUGCCUGCUGGAGGGGGAUAACUACUGGAAAAGGUAGCUAAUACCGCAUACCAUGGGAAGUGCACAGAUGGGAUUAGCUAGUUGGUGGGGUAAAGGCUCACCAAGGCGACGAUCCCUAGCUGAUCUGAGGGGAUGACCAGCCACACUGGAACUGAGCCACGGCCCAGCCUCCUACGGGAGGCAGCAGUGGGGAAUAUUAGACAAUGGGCGGAAGCCUGAUGCAGCCAUGCCGCGUGUAUGAAGAAGGCCUUCGGGUUUUAAAGUACUUUCAGCGGGGAGGCGUUACCCGCUGAAGAAGCACCGGCUAACUCCGUGCCAGCAGCCGCGGUAAUAC